CGCGAAUGGCUCAUUACAACAGCUAACAAAUCUACUUGAUCUUGACACAAUCCUACUUGGAUAACUGUGGUAAUUCUAGAGCUAAUACAUGCAUUAAAGCUCUGACCUUCGGGGAAGAGUGCAUUUAUUAGAACAAAACCAAGCGGCUUCGGCUGUUUUCGGUUGACUCAUAGUAACUGAGCUGAUCGCAUGGUCUUGCACCGGCGACGUGUCUUUCGAGUAUCUGCCGUAUCAACUUUCGAUGGUAGUGUAUCUGACUACCAUGGUGAUCACGCGUAACGGAGAAUAAGGGUUCGACUCCGGAGAGUUCGCCUGAGAAAUCGCGAACACAUCUAAGGAAGGCAGCAGGCGCGCAAAUUACCCACUCUCAAUUCGAGGAGGUAGUGACAACAACUAACGAGACUGCUCCCUUUGGGAACAGUCAUCGAAAUGGGUACAAUUUAAACCCUUUAACGAGGAUCAAUGAGAGGGCAAGUCUGGUGCCAGCAGCCGCGGUAAUUCCAGCU
RNAcentral lists this ribosomal RNA (506 nucleotides) under Eucephalobus striatus. RNAcentral's name for it is "SSU rRNA". It matches the Rfam family "Eukaryotic small subunit ribosomal RNA", at positions 88 to 590 of the family's 1831-position model. The record is from RNAcentral. Lineage: Eukaryota; Metazoa; Nematoda; Chromadorea; Rhabditida; Cephalobidae.